RNAcentral lists this ribosomal RNA (506 nucleotides) under uncultured bacterium. Its description in RNAcentral is "partial 16S ribosomal RNA". It matches the Rfam family "Bacterial small subunit ribosomal RNA", at positions 30 to 523 of the family's 1533-position model. The record is from RNAcentral.
AUUGAACGCUGGCGGCAGGCCUAACACAUGCAAGUCGAACGGUAACAGGAAACAGCUUGCUGUUUCGCUGACGAGUGGCGGACGGGUGGGUAAUGUCUGGGAAACUGCCUGAUGGAGGGGGAUAACUACUGGAAACGGUAGCUAAUACCGCAUAACGUCGCAAGACCAAAGAGGGGGACCUUCGGGCCUCUUGCCAUCGGAUGUGCCCAGGUGGGAUUAGCUAGUAGGUGGGGUAACGGCUCACCUAGGCGACGAUCCCUAGCUGGUCUGAGAGGCUGAUCAGCCACACUGGAACUGGGACACGGUCCAGACUCCUACGGGAGGCAGCAGUGGGGAAUAUUGCACAAUGGGCGCAAGCAUGAUGCAGCCAUGCCGCGUGUAUGAAGAAGGCCUUCGGGUUGUAAAGUACUUUCAGCGGGGAGGAAGGGAGUAAAGUCAAUACCUUUGCUCAUUGACGUUACCCGCAGAAGAAGCACCGGCUAACUCCGUGCCAGCCGCCGCAGUAA